Molecule: ribosomal RNA, 721 nt
Filed under: uncultured Fusobacterium sp.
Lineage: Bacteria; Fusobacteriati; Fusobacteriota; Fusobacteriia; Fusobacteriales; Fusobacteriaceae
Description: bacterial SSU rRNA
Rfam family: Bacterial small subunit ribosomal RNA
Source: RNAcentral
GAUGAACGCUGACAGAAUGCUUAACACAUGCAAGUCAACUUGAAUUUGGGUUUUUAACUUAGAUUUGGGUGGCGGACGGGUGAGUAACGCGUAAAGAACUUGCCUCACAGCUAGGGACAACAUUUAGAAAUGAAUGCUAAUACCUGAUAUUAUGAUUUUAAGGCAUCUUAGAAUUAUGAAAGCUAUAUGCGCUGUGAGAGAGCUUUGCGUCCCAUUAGCUAGUUGGAGAGGUAACAGCUCACCAAGGCGAUGAUGGGUAGCCGGUCUGAGAGGGUGAACGGCCGCAAGGGGACUGAGACACGGCCCUUACUCCUACGGGAGGCAGCAGUGGGGAAUAUUGGACAAUGGACCGAGAGUCUGAUCCAGCAAUUCUGUGUGCACGAUGAAGUUUUUCGGAAUGUAAAGUGCUUUCAGUUGGGAAGAAAAAAUGACGGUACCAACAGAAGAAGUGACGGCUAAAUACGUGCCAGCAGCCGCGGUAAUACGUAUGUCACGAGCGUUAUCCGGAUUUAUUGGGCGUAAAGCGCGUCUAGGUGGUUAUGUAAGUCUGAUGUGAAAAUGCAGGGCUCAACUCUGUAUUGCGUUGGAAACUGUAUAACUAGAGUACUGGAGAGGUAAGCGGAACUACAAGUGUAGAGGUGAAAUUCGUAGAUAUUUGUAGGAAUACCGAUGGGGAAGCCAGCUUACUGGACAGAUACUGACGCUAAAGCGCGAAAGCGUG